Molecule: ribosomal RNA, 326 nt
Filed under: uncultured eukaryote
Lineage: Eukaryota
Description: partial 18S ribosomal RNA
Rfam family: Eukaryotic small subunit ribosomal RNA
Source: RNAcentral
CCCUUAGAUGUUCUGGGCUGCACGCGCGCUACACUGAUGCGCUCAACGAGUUUACGACCUUGCCCGGAAGGGUUGGGUAAUCUUUUUAAAACGCAUCGUGAUGGGGAUAGAUUAUUGCAAUUAUUAAUCUUUAACGAGGAAUUCCUAGUAAGCGCGAGUCAUCAGCUCGUGCUGAUUACGUCCCUGCCCUUUGUACACACCGCCCGUCGCUCCUACCGAUUGAAUGAUCCGGUGAAUAAUUCGGACUGCAGCAGUGUUCAGUUCCUGAACGUUGUAGCGGAAAGUUUAGUGAACCUUAUCACUUAGAGGAAGGAGAAGUCGUAACA